GAUGAACGCUGGCGGCGUGCCUAAUACAUGCAAGUCGAGCGAACAGAUGAGGAGCUUGCUCCUCUGACGUUAGCGGCGGACGGGUGAGUAACACGUGGAUAACCUACCUAUAAGACUGGGAUAACUUCGGGAAACCGGAGCUAAUACCGGAUAAUAUAUUGAACCGUAUGGUUCAAUAGUGAAAGACGGUUUUGCUGUCACUUAUAGAUGGAUCCGCGCCGCAUUAGCUAGUUGGUAAGGUAACGGCUUACCAAGGCAACGAUGCGUAGCCGACCUGAGAGGGUGAUCGGCCACACUGGAACUGAGACACGGUCCAGACUCCUACGGGAGGCAGCAGUAGGGAAUCUUCCGCAAUGGGCGAAAGCCUGACGGAGCAACGCCGCGUGAGUGAUGAAGGUCUUCGGAUCGUAAAACUCUGUUAUUAGGGAAGAACAAAUGUGUAAGUAACUAUGCACGUCUUGACGGUACCUAAUCAGAAAGCCACGGCUAACUACGU
This 496-nucleotide ribosomal RNA is filed under the name uncultured bacterium. RNAcentral's name for it is "partial 16S ribosomal RNA". It matches the Rfam family "Bacterial small subunit ribosomal RNA", at positions 28 to 506 of the family's 1533-position model. The record is from RNAcentral.